Molecule: non-coding RNA, 268 nt
Organism: Cinara cedri
Lineage: Eukaryota; Metazoa; Arthropoda; Insecta; Hemiptera; Aphididae
Source: the annotation of a GenBank genome assembly
ACACAUAUGCUGUCUCAGUUUAACUAACAGGUAAUAUAGUAAAAUUUACCUUAAGUAGUGUGCGUAGAACUCGCUGAAUUUCAGUUUUAAAUUAAAAUCACCUUUAUAAAAUUAAAAGAAGACAUUAUUUUGGAGAGCACGACGAUGCGUUUCUUUUUUAAAUUGUAACAGUUGUUUAAAAAUAAUGAUUUAGUAUUUAUCGAUAAACUAUAUAUUCAACGUUAUAUUCGGAAUACUAAUUAGAAUAAUAGGAAAAAACGCAUCGUCU